AGGACGAACGCUGGCGGCGUGCUUAACACAUGCAAGUCGAACGGUAAGGCCCUUCGGGGUACACGAGUGGCGAACGGGUGAGUAACACGUGGGUAAUCUGCCCUGCACUUCGGGAUAAGCCUGGGAAACUGGGUCUAAUACCGAAUAGGACCACGGGACGCAUGUCCUGUGGUGCAAAGCUUUUGCGGUGUGGGAUGGGCCCGCGGCCUAUCAGCUAGUUGGUGGGGUGAUAGCCCACCAAGGCGACGACGGGUAGCCGGCCUGAGAGGGUGUCCGGCCACACUGGGACUGAGAUACGGCCCAGACUCCUACGGGAGGCAGCAGUGGGGAAUAUUGCACAAUGGGCGCAAGCCUGAUGCAGCGACGCCGCGUGAGGGAUGAAGGCCUUCGGGUUGUAAACCGUCUUUCCAGCAGGGAGAAGGCCUUCGGGUGACGGUACCUGCAGAAGAAGCACCGGCUAACUACGUGCCAGCAGCCGC
Molecule: ribosomal RNA, 479 nt
Filed under: uncultured bacterium
Lineage: Bacteria
Description: SSU rRNA
Rfam family: Bacterial small subunit ribosomal RNA
Source: RNAcentral